AUUGAACGCUGGCGGCAGGCCUAACACAUGCAAGUCGAACGAGUGGCGGACGGGUGAGUAAUGUUUGGGAAUCUAGCUGAUGGAGGGGGAUAACUACGGGAAACUGUAGCUAAUACCGCGUACCAUAGGAUGAGCCCAGAUGGGAUUAGGUGGUUGGUGAGGUAAAGGCUCACCAAGGCGACGAUCUCUAGCUGGUCUGAGAGGAUGACCAGCCACACUGUCACUGAGUCACGGCCCAGACUCCUACGGGAGGCAUCAGUGGGGAAUAUUGCCCAAUGGGGGCAACCCUGACGCAGCCAUGCCGCGUGAAUGAAGAAGGCCUUCGGGUUGUAAAGUUCUUUCGGUAGCGAGGCGUUAUCUACAGAAGAAGCACCGGCUAACUCCGUGCCAGCAGCCGCGGUAAUAC
This 406-nucleotide ribosomal RNA is filed under the name uncultured bacterium. Its description in RNAcentral is "partial 16S ribosomal RNA". It matches the Rfam family "Bacterial small subunit ribosomal RNA", at positions 30 to 526 of the family's 1533-position model. The record is from RNAcentral.